AAUGAACGUUGGCGGCGUGGAUUAGGCAUGCAAGUCGAGCGAGAAGUCUGUGAGUGAUCCUUCGGGUGAACGAUCAGAUGGAAAGCGGCAAACGGCGUAGUUAUGGAUAGGUCACGUACCCUCAGGACGGGAAUAGCCACGGGAAACUGUGGGUAAUGCCCGAUAAUGUCUACGGACCAAAUGGUGUGAUUCCGCCUGGGGAGCGGCUUAUUUGAUAUUAGCUUGUUGGUGGGGUAAUGGCCUACCAAGGCUUCGAUGUCUAGGGGGUGUGAGAGCAUGGCCCCCACGACCGGGACUGAGACACUGCCCGGACAUCUACGGAUGGCUGCAGUCGAGAAUCUUCCGCAAUGGACGCAAGUCCGACGGAGCGACGCCGCGUGCGGGACGAAGGCCCUUGGGUUGUAAACCGCUGUCAGAGGGGAUGAAAUCGUCGGGGGCAAUCCCCCUUCGUUGACAAAGCCUCAAAGGAAGCACAGGCUAAGUACGUGCCAGCCGCCGCCGUAACAC
This 507-nucleotide ribosomal RNA is filed under the name uncultured bacterium. RNAcentral's name for it is "bacterial SSU rRNA". It matches the Rfam family "Bacterial small subunit ribosomal RNA", at positions 29 to 526 of the family's 1533-position model. The record is from RNAcentral.